This 449-nucleotide ribosomal RNA is filed under the name uncultured bacterium. Its description in RNAcentral is "partial 16S ribosomal RNA". It matches the Rfam family "Bacterial small subunit ribosomal RNA", at positions 29 to 523 of the family's 1533-position model. The record is from RNAcentral.
AACGAACGCUGGCGGCAUGCCUAACACAUGCAAGUCGAACGAGAUCUUCGGGUCUAGUGGCGCACGGGUGCGUAACGCGUGGGAAUCUGCCCUUUGGUUCGGAAUAACAGUUGGAAACGACUGCUAAUACCGGAUGAUGACGAAAGUCCAAAGAUUUAUCGCCAGAGGAUGAGCCCGCGUAGGAUUAGCUAGUUGGUGUGGUAAAGGCGCACCAAGGCGACGAUCCUUAGCUGGUCUGAGAGGGUGAUCAGCCACACUAGGACUGAGACACGGCCCCGACUCCUACGGGAGGCAGCAGUGGGGAAUAUUGGACAAUGGGCGAAAGCCUGAUCCAGCAAUGCCGCGUGAGUGAUGAAGGCCUUAGGGUUGUAAAGCUCUUUUACCCGGGAUGAUAAUGACAGUACCGGGAGAAUAAGCUCCGGCUAACUCCGUGCCAGCAGCCGCCGUAA